RNAcentral lists this ribosomal RNA (626 nucleotides) under Hoplias malabaricus (trahira). Its description in RNAcentral is "partial small subunit ribosomal RNA". It matches the Rfam family "Bacterial small subunit ribosomal RNA", at positions 9 to 964 of the family's 1533-position model. The record is from RNAcentral. Lineage: Eukaryota; Metazoa; Chordata; Actinopteri; Characiformes; Erythrinidae.
CACUGAAGAUGUUAAGAUGGACCCUAGAAAGUUCCACGGGCACAAAGGCCUGGUCCUGACUUUACCAUCAGCUUUAACCCAAUUUAUACAUGCAAGUAUCCGCACCCCUGUGAGAAUGCCCUCAAUCCCCCGUCCGGGGACGAGGAGCCGGCAUCAGGCACACCCCUCUUUAGCCCAAGACGCCUUGCUACGCCACACCCCCAAGGGAACUCAGCAGUAAUAAACAUUAAGCCAUAAGUGAAAACUUGACUUAGUUAGGGCUAAGAGGGUCGGUAAAACUCGUGCCAGCCACCGCGGUUAUACGAGAGACCCUAGUUGAUGACUACGGCGUAAAGAGUGGUUUGGGACCCUACAAUAAAUAAAGCCAAAGACCUCCCAAGCUGUCAAACGCACCCCGGAGGAAAACGAAGCCCUAUAAACGAAAGUAGCUUUAUCCUCACCUUGACCCCACGAAAGCUAAGAAACAAAGGGGGUUUAGAUCCCCCUAUAUGCUUAGCCUUAAACUCAGAUGCAAGCCAUACAAAUUCCAUCCGCCAGGGUACUACGAGCGCUAGCUUAAAACCCAAAGGACUGACGGUGUCUCAGACCCGCCUAGAGGAGCCUGUUCUAGAACCGAUAAUCCCCGU